CCUACGGGGGGCAGCAGUGAGGAAUAUUGGUCAAUGGGCGCAAGCCUGAACCAGCCAAGUCGCGUGAGGGAUGACUGUCCUAUGGAUUGUAAACCUCUUUUGUCGGGGAGCAAGGCCCGCCACGUGUGGCGGGAAGGAGAGUACCCGAAGAAAAAGCAUCGGCUAACUCCGUGCCAGCAGCCGCGGUAAUACGGAGGAUGCGAGCGUUAUCCGGAUUUAUUGGGUUUAAAGGGUGCGUAGGCGGGCUUUUAAGUCAGCGGUAAAAAUUCGGGGCUCAACCCCGUCCGGCCGUUGAAACUGGGGGCCUUGAGUGGGCGAGAAGAAGGCGGAAUGCGUGGUGUAGCGGUGAAAUGCAUAGAUAUCACGCAGAACCCCGAUUGCGAAGGCAGCCUUCCGGCGCCCUACUGACGCUGAGGCACGAAAGUGCGGGGAUCGAACAGGAUUAGAUACCCUGGUAGUC
This 460-nucleotide ribosomal RNA is filed under the name uncultured bacterium. Its description in RNAcentral is "partial 16S ribosomal RNA". It matches the Rfam family "Bacterial small subunit ribosomal RNA", at positions 338 to 795 of the family's 1533-position model. The record is from RNAcentral.